GGGUUGUGAGGUUAAGCGACUAAGCGUACACGGUGGAUGCCCUGGCAGUCAGAGGCGAUGAAGGACGUGCUAAUCUGCGAUAAGCGUCGGUAAGGUGAUAUGAACCGUUAUAACCGGCGAUUUCCGAAUGGGGAAACCCAGUGUGAUUCGUCACACUAUCAUUAACUGAAUCCAUAGGUUAAUGAGGCGAACCGGGGGAACUGAAACAUCUAAGUACCCCGAGGAAAAGAAAUCAACCGAGAUUCCCCCAGUAGCGGCGAGCGAACGGGGAGCAGCCCAGAGCCUGAAUCAGUGUGUGUGUUAGUGGAAGCGUCUGGAAAGGCGCGCGAUACAGGGUGACAGCCCCGUACACAAAAAUGCACAUAUUGUGAGCUCGAUGAGUAGGGCGGGACACGUGGUAUCCUGUCUGAAUAUGGGGGGACCAUCCUCCAAGGCUAAAUACUCCUGACUGACCGAUAGUGAACCAGUACCGUGAGGGAAAGGCGAAAAGAACCCCGGCGAGGGGAGUGAAAAAGAACCUGAAACCGUGUACGUACAAGCAGUGGGAGCACGCUUAGGCGUGUGACUGCGUACCUUUUGUAUAAUGGGUCAGCGACUUAUAUUCUGUAGCAAGGUUAACCGAAUAGGGGAGCCGAAGGGAAACCGAGUCUUAACUGGGCGUUAAGUUGCAGGGUAUAGACCCGAAACCCGGUGAUCUAGCCAUGGGCAGGUUGAAGGUUGGGUAACACUAACUGGAGGACCGAACCGACUAAUGUUGAAAAAUUAGCGGAUGACUUGUGGCUGGGGGUGAAAGGCCAAUCAAACCGGGAGAUAGCUGGUUCUCCCCGAAAGCUAUUUAGGUAGCGCCUCGUGAAUUCAUCUCCGGGGGUAGAGCACUGUUUCGGCAAGGGGGUCAUCCCGACUUACCAACCCGAUGCAAACUGCGAAUACCGGAGAAUGUUAUCACGGGAGACACACGGCGGGUGCUAACGUCCGUCGUGAAGAGGGAAACAACCCAGACCGCCAGCUAAGGUCCCAAAGUCAUGGUUAAGUGGGAAACGAUGUGGGAAGGCCCAGACAGCCAGGAUGUUGGCUUAGAAGCAGCCAUCAUUUAAAGAAAGCGUAAUAGCUCACUGGUCGAGUCGGCCUGCGCGGAAGAUGUAACGGGGCUAAACCAUGCACCGAAGCUGCGGCAGCGACGCUUAUGCGUUGUUGGGUAGGGGAGCGUUCUGUAAGCCUGUGAAGGUGUGCUGUGAGGCAUGCUGGAGGUAUCAGAAGUGCGAAUGCUGACAUAAGUAACGAUAAAGCGGGUGAAAAGCCCGCUCGCCGGAAGACCAAGGGUUCCUGUCCAACGUUAAUCGGGGCAGGGUGAGUCGACCCCUAAGGCGAGGCCGAAAGGCGUAGUCGAUGGGAAACAGGUUAAUAUUCCUGUACUUGGUGUUACUGCGAAGGGGGGACGGAGAAGGCUAUGUUGGCCGGGCGACGGUUGUCCCGGUUUAAGCGUGUAGGCUGGUUUUCCAGGCAAAUCCGGAAAAUCAAGGCUGAGGCGUGAUGACGAGGCACUACGGUGCUGAAGCAACAAAUGCCCUGCUUCCAGGAAAAGCCUCUAAGCAUCAGGUAACAUCAAAUCGUACCCCAAACCGACACAGGUGGUCAGGUAGAGAAUACCAAGGCGCUUGAGAGAACUCGGGUGAAGGAACUAGGCAAAAUGGUGCCGUAACUUCGGGAGAAGGCACGCUGAUAUGUAGGUGAAGCGACUUGCUCGUGGAGCUGAAAUCAGUCGAAGAUACCAGCUGGCUGCAACUGUUUAUUAAAAACACAGCACUGUGCAAACACGAAAGUGGACGUAUACGGUGUGACGCCUGCCCGGUGCCGGAAGGUUAAUUGAUGGGGUCAGCGCAAGCGAAGCUCUUGAUCGAAGCCCCGGUAAACGGCGGCCGUAACUAUAACGGUCCUAAGGUAGCGAAAUUCCUUGUCGGGUAAGUUCCGACCUGCACGAAUGGCGUAAUGAUGGCCAGGCUGUCUCCACCCGAGACUCAGUGAAAUUGAACUCGCUGUGAAGAUGCAGUGUACCCGCGGCAAGACGGAAAGACCCCGUGAACCUUUACUAUAGCUUGACACUGAACAUUGAGCCUUGAUGUGUAGGAUAGGUGGGAGGCUUAGAAGUGUGGACGCCAGUCUGCAUGGAGCCGACCUUGAAAUACCACCCUUUAAUGUUUGAUGUUCUAACGUUGACCCGUAAUCCGGGUUGCGGACAGUGUCUGGUGGGUAGUUUGACUGGGGCGGUCUCCUCCUAAAGAGUAACGGAGGAGCACGAAGGUUGGCUAAUCCUGGUCGGACAUCAGGAGGUUAGUGCAAUGGCAUAAGCCAGCUUGACUGCGAGCGUGACGGCGCGAGCAGGUGCGAAAGCAGGUCAUAGUGAUCCGGUGGUUCUGAAUGGAAGGGCCAUCGCUCAACGGAUAAAAGGUACUCCGGGGAUAACAGGCUGAUACCGCCCAAGAGUUCAUAUCGACGGCGGUGUUUGGCACCUCGAUGUCGGCUCAUCACAUCCUGGGGCUGAAGUAGGUCCCAAGGGUAUGGCUGUUCGCCAUUUAAAGUGGUACGCGAGCUGGGUUUAGAACGUCGUGAGACAGUUCGGUCCCUAUCUGCCGUGGGCGCUGGAGAACUGAGGGGGGCUGCUCCUAGUACGAGAGGACCGGAGUGGACGCAUCACUGGUGUUCGGGUUGUCAUGCCAAUGGCACUGCCCGGUAGCUAAAUGCGGAAGAGAUAAGUGCUGAAAGCAUCUAAGCACGAAACUUGCCCCGAGAUGAGUUCUCCCUGACUCCUUGAGAGUCCUGAAGGAACGUUGAAGACGACGACGUUGAUAGGCCGGGUGUGUAAGCGCAGCGAUGCGUUGAGCUAACCGGUACUAAUGAACCGUGAGGCUUAACCUUACAACGCCGAAGCUGUU
This 2930-nucleotide ribosomal RNA is filed under the name Escherichia coli. RNAcentral describes it as "23S ribosomal RNA". It matches the Rfam family "Bacterial large subunit ribosomal RNA". Lineage: Bacteria; Pseudomonadati; Pseudomonadota; Gammaproteobacteria; Enterobacterales; Enterobacteriaceae. The record is from RNAcentral.